UACGUAGGUUGCAAGCGUUGUCCGGAUUUACUGGGCGUAAAGAGCGCGCAGGCGGUCGUUCAAGUCGCGUGUGAAAGCCCCCGGCUCAACUGGGGAGGGUCACGCGAUACUGAUCGACUCGAAGGCAGGAGAGGGAAGUGGAAUUCCCGGUGUAGUGGUGAAAUGCGUAGAGAUCCGGAGGAACACCGAAGGCGAAGGCAGUGUCCUGGCGAGUGACUGACGCUGAGGUGCGAAAGCCAGGGGAGCGAACGGG
RNAcentral lists this ribosomal RNA (253 nucleotides) under uncultured bacterium. RNAcentral's name for it is "partial 16S ribosomal RNA". It matches the Rfam family "Bacterial small subunit ribosomal RNA", at positions 524 to 776 of the family's 1533-position model. The record is from RNAcentral.